RNAcentral lists this ribosomal RNA (400 nucleotides) under uncultured bacterium. RNAcentral describes it as "bacterial SSU rRNA". It matches the Rfam family "Bacterial small subunit ribosomal RNA", at positions 355 to 753 of the family's 1533-position model. The record is from RNAcentral.
UGAGGAAUAUUGGUCAAUGGGCGCAAGCCUGAACCAGCCAUCCCGCGUGCAGGAAGACGGCCCUAUGGGUUGUAAACUGACUUUUCCAGGGGGUAGAAUUUUUCUGUCGUGACAGGAAUUGACGGUACCCUGGGAAUAAGCAUCGGCUAACUCCGUGCCAGCAGCCGCGGUAAUACGGAGGAUGCGAGCGUUAUCCGGAUUUAUGGGUUUAAAGGUGCGUAGGCGGAUUGAUAAGUCAGUGGUGAAAACCUGCAGCUUAACUGUAGACUUGCCGUUGAUACUGUCAGUCUUGAGUGUGGUCAAGGUAGGCGGAAUGUGUAAUGUAGCGGUGAAAUGCUUAGAUAUUACACAGAACACGAUUGCGAAGGCAGCUUACUGGGCCAUUACUGACGCUGAUGCA